Molecule: unclassified non-coding RNA, 192 nt
Filed under: plant metagenome
Description: partial contains small subunit ribosomal RNA and internal transcribed spacer 1
Rfam family: Eukaryotic small subunit ribosomal RNA (bases 1-46)
Source: RNAcentral
AAGUCGUAACAAGGUUUCCGUAGGUGAACCUGCGGAAGGAUCAUUACCUAGAGUUGCGGGCUUUGCCUGCCAUCUCUUACCCAUGUCUUUUGAGUACCUUACGUUUCCUCGGCGGGUCCGCCCUGCCGACUGGGACAAUUUAAACCACUUGCAGUUCGCAAUCCAGACGUCUGAAAAACUUAAUAGUUCAAC